AGCCUCGAGAGAGAACGGCACACGCACUUGCCUGUCCGGAAGAAUUCCCCAAUUUAAGAUCUCUCUCGCGGUCUCGCCACCUCCACCUCACUCGCUCGCCCGCUCGCUGCUGCUCACAUGUCGGCGGCCGGCGACGAGAGCGCCGGCGGCGCCGCCGCCCUGCCGCAGGGGCCGGUGCCCGUGGAGCACGUCAAGGCGGCCAACGGGCUCGAGAAGGUCGUCCUCCGCGAGGUCCGGGGCAACUCCGUCGAGGUGUACCUGUAUGGUGGCCAUGUCACAUCAUGGAAAGAUGAGCAUGGCGAGGAGCUGCUUUUUGUUAGCAAUAAGGCUAUUUUCAAACCUCCAAAAGCUAUACGUGGAGGUAUACCAAUCUGCUUUCCUCAGUUUUCCAACUUCGGACAUCUGGAAGCUCAUGGAUUUGCAAGGAACAGGACCUGGAUUGUUGACACUGAUCCACCACCAUUUCCAGUACCAGUCUCUAGUAGAGCUUACAUCGAUUUAAUCCUUAAACCUACCGAAGAAGACUUAAAGAUCUGGCCACAUAGUUUUGAGUACCGUCUGAGGAUUGCACUUGGACCUGGUGGAGAUCUAAUGCUGACUUCACGUAUAAGGAAUAGCAAUGCAGAUGCAAAGUCAUUCACUUUUACCUUUGCAUAUCACACAUACUUUUCGAUUUCUGAUAUAAGCGAGAUAAGAGUAGAAGGUCUUGAAACUCUGGAUUACCUAGACAACUUGCAAGAUAGGGCCCGCUUCACUGAACAAGGCGAUGCUAUUGUUUUUGAAUCUGAGUUAGACAGAAUAUAUCUGGGCACACCAUCAAAAAUUGCCAUUAUUGAUCAUGAGAAGAAAAGGACAUUUGUUGUGAGAAAAGGAGGCCUUCCGGAUGCUGUUGUUUGGAACCCUUGGGACAAAAAGGCUAAGGCAAUGUCAGAUUUUGGGGAUGACGAAUAUAAACGCAUGGUAUGUGUGGAGGCAGCUGCUAUAGAGAAGCCAAUUACUCUGAAGCCUGGUGAAGAGUGGACUGGAAAAUUGGAAUUAUCUGCAGUCCCGUCUAGUUAUUACAGUGGUCAAUUGGACCCGGAUCGUGUUAUUCAGGAUUCAGUUGUCCCGGAGGAUUCCAUCAGCUAGCCCUUAGUGAAUCUUGUGCAGAAUUCUCUAGACACGAUUAAGCGAGACCAGAUGCUAGGAACUUGGCAUAAUGCAUCUCUAAGAAUUAUGACAACAAACAGAUGGCUUUGUCAAGAACUAGGCAUGGUACGCAGAACCUGUCUUUUUGGGUAAUCAGGGAUUCGGUGGAGACUAAAAUCUACCAGAAUUUACUGGCAGAACCUGUCUUUUUGGGUAAUCAGGGAUUCGGUGGAGACUAAAAUCUACCAGAAUUUACUGGUGAAGCGGCAACCAUAUUGUGGAAGACCUUUUCUUUUGAGAACUCCAAUUACAAAAGACUAGCUUACCUGCACAAUGUUUUGUUUUUAUCUGCUUACAGUUGUAGACUAUUAAUAUCGUAUGCACAAGGGAAAUGGCAUCAAGGAGUGUCAAAACAUUCCUUCCAUUCUAUUCAAUCUUUGUUGUUUUCGGCAUGCGCAUCAGAACAAAGCGAAUCUACAUGACACAAAGGACAAAACUUUGUUCAUAUCCUCUUUAGGGAUGUUUGAAGAAACAUCUCGGAUGGGUUGUAAAAUAAAUUUAUGACUGUAUUUUAUCAGUUUCUUUUAUUCUUGGAUGCUAAGUUUCAUAGUGUAAAACAUUCCAAGGUUUUGAACUGCAUGGCCUGUUGGUGGUUACAGGAAAGAUGCUUAUUUGGAUGCAUGGUUUACCUGUCUAUUGGAUGGUUAUUUAAAUGAAGCAGCGGUGUUUUUGUGUCUGAUUAAA
Lolium perenne is the source of this 1872-nucleotide RNA transcript. It is a transcript of the gene named putative glucose-6-phosphate 1-epimerase, with no coding region annotated. Lineage: Eukaryota; Viridiplantae; Streptophyta; Magnoliopsida; Poales; Poaceae. The record is from RefSeq and is a predicted model, not a curated record.